Camelus dromedarius (Arabian camel) is the source of this 604-nucleotide long non-coding RNA. RefSeq lists it as uncharacterized. NCBI's taxonomy places the organism in Eukaryota, Metazoa, Chordata, Mammalia, Artiodactyla, Camelidae. The transcript is spliced from 3 exons. The record is from RefSeq and is a predicted model, not a curated record.
GAGACUCACUCAAAUUCAUCUGGACUCCCCGAGGAGGCAGACGGGCACAAAGGGCCACUGCUGGUACCAAGGCUCCAGUUCCUCGGAGAGUUCAGCUGGAGAGAAGUCUGCUCUGGGUCCUUUCAUGGUUUCCAAAACUUUUGACUGAAAUACAUGUGCAGCCUAAAAGUUAAGAGUUAUGAUUUAUUUGGCAGGAGGACUUGACCUGGGAUGACAGCCUCUCAGAUCUCUCUGAGGGACUGCUCAGAAGAGGUUCGGGAGGAAAUAGGAUAUAGAGGAGCUUUACAACAAAGACCGGGAAGUUGGAACAAUAAAAGAUUGCUUGUUAUCUAAAGAAAGCCAGACUGACUAUGGAUAAUCUGCAACCUUGGAAAGCAACCGAGAUGGAAUUACUGCAGAUCCCUCCCUUCUCUCUGCACCUCCUGUCCAUCUGUUUCACUCCACUUUCCCCUCCUCUCCUCCUUCUCCCAUCUUAUCCCUCCAUUGCUGCCCCAGCUUUUCUCGCAGAACCAAGAGGAUCCCUGGUCCUCCUGCGCAUGCGAAGUCGGUGCACGCUGGACCGCCGGGUUGGAAGCCCCAGCUCCAAGCCGGGGAUCGGCCCCAA